Molecule: long non-coding RNA, 851 nt
Filed under: Homo sapiens (human)
Lineage: Eukaryota; Metazoa; Chordata; Mammalia; Primates; Hominidae
Description: non-protein coding LRRC8C-DT:52
Source: RNAcentral
CCACCUCCACCCCUCAUCCCUCACAAUGCGCGGAAAACCACAGGCGGCUGUGCGCGCAGCGUCGGCUCAGCCACCGCAGCUCCUCCCCUGGGAUGAAAAAGCACUCUGACGUCUUGAAAGCUGGCAGCUCUCUGUUUGGAAAAUCUCUGCCCAGUGAAAAAAUGUACCGACAAGAUUACUAAGUAACACAGUCUUCUGGGAAUGCCUUAUCAAUGCCAGCUAUUUGAAGAGCACCCAAAGUCAAACUAGUGCUCCGCGCUGGCAGUCUGGAAAAGGCAGAUGUAUAAACCAAAAAGGAUGGAGUUCAGAGACCUUCCAUGUUGAUGAACAAGAACACAUUCACCUGCUGUAGGGGUAGGUGUACCCCAAAACUCCACUGAUACAGAAGCUUCUAUACUCAAGACCCUUCUAUACUCAAGACCCUGGAUCUUACCCUAUAUAUCUCUUCAUCUGGCUAUUUAUUUGCAUCUUUUAAUAUAUCCUUUGUAAUAAACUAGUAAUCUAGAAAGCAAACUUUUCCUAGCUCUGUAGGCCAUUCUAGUAAAUGAUUAAACCUGAGGAGGAGUUAUGGGAACCUUUGAUUUGUAGACAAGUUGGACAAAAGUGGUAUAUAUCCUAAUAUAACAUGGGAACCUGCCACUUAUGAUUGGCGUGUGAAAUUGGGGGAUGGGGAAGCAGUCUUGUGGGACUGAGCCCUUAGCCUGUGGGGUCUAAUGCUAUCUUCAGGUAAUAUCAGAACUGAGUUAAAUUAUAGGAUACCAGUCAGUGUCCAUUGGAGAACUGAAUUAUUGUGAGGAGAAACCCACACAUUUGGUGGCUAAAAGUAUUGAUGUGAGUAGUAGCAUAUAGGA